GACGAACGCUAGCGGCGUGCUUAACACAUGCAAGUCGAACGGAAAGGCCCUGCUUUUGUGGGGUGCUCGAGUGGCGAACGGGUGAGUAACACGUGAGUAACCUGCCCUUGACUUUGGGAUAACUUCAGGAAACUGGGGCUAAUACCGGAUAGGAGCUCCUGCUGCGUGGUGGGGGUUGGAAAGUUUCGGCGGUUGGGGAUGGACUCGCGGCUUAUCAGCUUGUUGGUGGGGUAGUGGCUUACCAAGGCUUUGACGGGUAGCCGGCCUGAGAGGGUGACCGGCCACAUUGGGACUGAGAUACGGCGCAGACUCCUACGGGAGGCAGCAGUGGGGAAUAUUGCACAAUGGGCGGAAGCCUGAUGCAGCAACGCCGCGUGCGGGAUGACGGCCUUCGGGUUGUAAACCGCUUUCGCCUGUGACGAAGCGUGAGUGACGGUAAUGGGUAAAGAAGCACCGGCUAACUACGUG
This 468-nucleotide ribosomal RNA is filed under the name uncultured bacterium. RNAcentral describes it as "partial 16S ribosomal RNA". It matches the Rfam family "Bacterial small subunit ribosomal RNA", at positions 28 to 507 of the family's 1533-position model. The record is from RNAcentral.